GAUGAAGAACGUAGCGAAAUGCGAUACGUAAUGUGAAUUGCAGAAUUCAGUGAAUCAUCGAAUCUUUGAACGCAUAUUGCGCUCUCUGGUAUUCCGGAGAGCAUGCUUGUUUGAGUAUCAGUAAACACCUCAACUUCCAUAUCUUUUUUGAAAUGGGAGUUGGACUUGAGUGAUCCCAACGCUUUUCCUCACCGAAAAGUGGCGGGUUACUUGAAAUGCAGGUGCAGCUGGACUUUUCUCUGAGCUAUAAGCAUAUCUAUUUAGUCUGCCUAAAAAACAGAUUAUUACCUUUGCUGCAGCUAACAUAAAGGAGAUUAGUUCUUGUGCUGACUGAUGCAGGAUUCACAAAGACAGGCUUCGGCCGACUUUGUAAACUCGAUCUCAAAUCAAGUAAGACUACCCGCUGAACUUAAGCAUAUCAAUAAGCGGAGGA
This 433-nucleotide unclassified non-coding RNA is filed under the name soil metagenome. RNAcentral describes it as "partial contains 5.8S ribosomal RNA, internal transcribed spacer 2, and large subunit ribosomal RNA". The stretch from base 1 to 120 matches the Rfam family "5.8S ribosomal RNA", at positions 35 to 154 of the family's 154-position model. The record is from RNAcentral.